AUUUAUAAAAUGAAUUCAGAUCUUUUUGUUAAAGCUCAUUUAAAUAUUACAAAUAUGCUGCUAUUCGUUUUUAUGAUGAUUUCUCCCUUUGGGAGGCAUAAGAGUACAGGUUUGGAAACCUUAACGCAAACCAAACUUUAUGCUGGCAAUUUAAUUCUGCAAAACUCCUGGUUUAUGCUAUUUUUAAAAGUCUGCGUUUCCCUCCAACACUUAAAAGAUAGACACUCAAAACUCAAUAAGAUCUUCUAGAAAUUAAAAGGAUUUAAUUAGAUGAACCACAGUUUCUAAAUUAACUGCUUUUCACACACAUCCUUAGACCUGUGGUAGGUCAGGACUCAAUCUGAAUUGGGGAUUCAGCUGAAUUGCCUUUUUGGUGAGAAUCCCCGAUGGCCUCAUCGGAGAAUUUUUUACUUAAUAAAAAUAAAAGAGGGAGUUCCCCUUCCUUGCAUUUUUCGAAGCACUAAUUUUCUUCUAAUAUUUUGGGUAGUGCUUCAGGUUGGAGACAAAUGAGAUCACUAAACCCCGCCAGUGUGUGGACUCUGGGGCACAGUCUUCCAGUCCCCGAAGUUAAAUGUUUAGUUUGGGAAGGAGCGAGAGGGUUCCUACUAUUGUGGCAGGCUGCUUGGGGCAGGGGGUGUUCUCAAAUUACUGCUCCCUCACCGGGAAAGCCCGAACACAUCACGCUCAGUACGGGACGGAGAGCGAGACCACGCGGGGACUUCCGCCGGGCCAGGGCCAUUUGGGAACUGCGGCACCUAUACCAGCUCGGCGAAAACCAUCAUUAACGCGCCUUCGGAGCCACUCGGAGAGCCAGCCCACAGCCAGAGAGAAGAGUUUAGCCAGAGGUGUCCAGCUGUGGGGGAAGGGAGGGGAGGGGAGGAGUCUGGAGAGAUUCAGCCACACCUUCCCAGGUUCUGUCACUUUAAGGCAAACAGAAAUUCCCGAGUCCCGCCCCCUUCCCGAACAUCAGCUUACAAUUGGCUUACAGAGAUGCCAGUUGUGGACGGAGGUUUCAUCAUCUUCAGGCAUGGGGUUUUCCCAUUGGCCCAGGCGCUGGUGGUUUGUAAAUGGUACUGGAAAGGGGGAGGGGAGGAGGGUGUGCGAACGAGCGCGAGCGCGGCCCGGGCGGGAGCGGGAGGCUGGUUGGUUUCGCAAUCGCUUCUCGCCGUCCGCCGGUUCCAACUCUUCGAAGUCAGGCGUCGGGGUCGCGCCGCAGUGGGGGCCUCGCUGGGUCCGCCUCGGGUGGAGGCCCCCUAGGUGCAUGUGA
Molecule: long non-coding RNA, 1267 nt
Filed under: Monodelphis domestica (gray short-tailed opossum)
Lineage: Eukaryota; Metazoa; Chordata; Mammalia; Didelphimorphia; Didelphidae
Description: lncRNA (ENSMODG00000032021.2)
Source: RNAcentral